Long non-coding RNA from Bombyx mori (domestic silkworm), 612 nucleotides. RefSeq lists it as uncharacterized. Lineage: Eukaryota; Metazoa; Arthropoda; Insecta; Lepidoptera; Bombycidae. The record is from RefSeq and is a predicted model, not a curated record. The transcript has 3 exons.
UUUUCAGUGCGCUUACGUCAACUAUAUUUGUUAAAAAUAAUAGUCAUUGAAUUUUUUAACAUAUAUCUAUAUAGUUUAGAAUAUGAAAAAAUGAGAUUAAAUACUUCGAAAGGUUCCACUGCAACUGCGUGUAAUCUGCACACUACUGUAAAUUUUUAUUCGAUUCAUUCGAUCUCGCUGCUGCAUCACUACUGAUUUUCAUAAAGUAUCAAGUUGGAGAAUCAACUAACGAUUGACAACCUUCAUUAACGUUUAAGCGGUAACUUUAAAAGUUUCAAAUGCAUCAAUUAGAUUGUGAAAAGGCGUAUAAAGAGCUUUUAAUAUAUGCUUGAAUUAUCUACCACAUAAACUGCAAGAAUAAGUAGCUAAUUCAAAUUAAGGAUCUCACUGCAGCUUAGGACUGAUUUUAGUUUGAAACUAAACAAGAGGAUAGUAUACUUCAAUGUCUCCGAAUUUAUAUUAUGAACUAUAAGGUAUUUAUCAUCUGUUAAAUAAAAUAUGUACUAACCAAUUCCCCAUAAGUUGGUGAUACACCCCAAGCAAUCAGUGAGUCGUCCGCUGCUAUUACUAUGGAUGUGUUACUUGUGCCGACACUUUUUAUGUUCCAGCCUG